CAAGAACAUGGAAAUCCUGCAUCAUCUGUGUGAAAAAGACUAACACGGCUGUUCCUCUGAAACCUGCCAGGCAUUGUUGCUGAAGAAGGGGCAGCUAUCGGUGGCCUAGAAGAGAUACCAGUCCUGUCAACAUUUGUGACAGCUGUUGCCUAGGAGGAGGAGAGAGAUGGGAGAAUAUGAAUUUUUUAAAUCAAGACUGGAUGCCAGUUGAAAGGAUACGUUAUCACUGAGACAGAUGUUAUGGACUUUUAGAAAUGAGGGG
Long non-coding RNA from Caretta caretta (loggerhead turtle), 262 nucleotides. RefSeq lists it as uncharacterized. The record is from RefSeq and is a predicted model, not a curated record. Lineage: Eukaryota; Metazoa; Chordata; Testudines; Cheloniidae.